This 810-nucleotide ribosomal RNA is filed under the name Cellulomonas sp. RODV7. RNAcentral's name for it is "bacterial SSU rRNA". It matches the Rfam family "Bacterial small subunit ribosomal RNA", at positions 55 to 876 of the family's 1533-position model. Lineage: Bacteria; Bacillati; Actinomycetota; Actinomycetes; Micrococcales; Cellulomonadaceae. The record is from RNAcentral.
AUGCAGUGAACGGUGACGAUGGAGCUUGCUCUGUCUGAUCAGUGGCGAACGGGUGAGUAACACGUGAGUAACCUGCCCCCGACUCUGGAAUAACCGUGGGAAACGACGGCUAAUACCGGAUAUGAGACGCACAGGCAUCUGUGGGUCUGGAAAGAUUUAUCGGUCAGGGAUGGACUCGCGGCCUAUCAGCUUGUUGGUGGGGUAAUGGCCUACCAAGGCGACGACGGGUAGCCGGCCUGAGAGGGCGACCGGCCACACUGGGACUGAGAUACGGCCCAGACUCCUACGGGAGGCAGCAGUGGGGAAUAUUGCACAAUGGGCGCAAGCCUGAUGCAGCGACGCCGCGUGAGGGAUGAAGGCCUUCGGGUUGUAAACCUCUUUCAGCAGGGAAGAAGCGAAAGUGACGGUACCUGCAGAAGAAGCGCCGGCUAACUACGUGCCAGCAGCCGCGGUAAUACGUAGGGCGCAAGCGUUGUCCGGAAUUAUUGGGCGUAAAGAGCUCGUAGGCGGUUUGUCGCGUCUGCUGUGAAAACCUGAGGCUCAACCUCGGGCUUGCAGUGGGUACGGGCAGACUAGAGUGCGGUAGGGGUGACUGGAAUUCCUGGUGUAGCGGUGGAAUGCGCAGAUAUCAGGAGGAACACCGAUGGCGAAGGCAGGUCACUGGGCCGCAACUGACGCUGAGGAGCGAAAGCAUGGGGAGCGAACAGGAUUAGAUACCCUGGUAGUCCAUGCCGUAAACGUUGGGCACUAGGUGUGGGGCUCAUUCCACGAGUUCCGUGCCCGCAGCAACGCAUUAAGUGCCCCGCCUGG